This 909-nucleotide ribosomal RNA is filed under the name uncultured archaeon. RNAcentral's name for it is "bacterial SSU rRNA". It matches the Rfam family "Archaeal small subunit ribosomal RNA", at positions 31 to 922 of the family's 1478-position model. The record is from RNAcentral.
UCUUGGGGGUAGGAUAGAAUGCUAGUCGAGUGACUCAGGCAAAACGAGUCACGGCACACAGCUCAGUAACACGUGGCUAAUCUGCCCUUGGGACGAGGACAACCCCGGGAAACUGGGGCUAACUCUCGAUAGGUGAAGAACUCUGGAAUGAGUCUUUGCCUAAAUAACUUCACGUUAUCCUCGUGAAGUUGCCCAAGGAUGAGGCCGCGACCGAUCAGGUUGUUGGCGAGGUAAUGGCUCACCAAGCCUUUUACCGGUGCGGGCCGUGAGAGCGGGAGCCCGGAGAUGGGCACUGAGACAAGGGCCCAGGCCCUACGGGGCGCAGCAGUCGCGAAAACUUUGCAAUAAGCGAAAGCUUGACAGGGCUAUCCCGAGUGCCAUCCGCUGAGGAAGGCUUUUACCCAGUCUAGAACGCUGGGGGAAUAAGGAGAGGGCAAGUCUGGUGUCAGCCGCCGCGGUAAUACCAGCUCUCCGAGUGGUGUGGAUGUUUAUUGGGCCUAAAGCAUCCGUAGCUGGCUAAGUUAGUCCCUUGUUAAAUCCACCGAAUUAAUCGUUGGAUUGCGGGGGAUACUGCUUGGCUAGGGGACGAGAGAGGCAGACGGUAUUUCCGGGGUAGGGGUGAAAUCCUAUAAUCCCGGGAAGACCACCAGUGGCGAAGGCUGUCUGCUAGAACGCGCCCGACGGUGAGGGAUGAAAGCUGGGGGAGCGAACCGGAUUAGAUACCCGGGUAGUCCCAGCUGUAAACGAUGCAGACUAGGUGUUUGGACGGCCACGUGCCGUUCUAGUGCCGCAGGGAAGCUGUUAAGUCUGCCGCCUGGGGAGUACGAUCGCAAGAUUGAAACUUAAAGGAAUUGGCGGGGGAGCACCACAAGGGGUGAAGCUUGCGGUUUAAUUGGAGUCAACGCCGGG